UCUUGAGUUGUUAAAAGAUAGAACAGUCCAGUCAAGUGCCAUGUCGCUUAUUCUUGAUCAGCUAUAGCUCUGGAGUUUUUGCAGAUUUUCAAAUAAAACUCAGAGAUUCCUUGUAUGACUCUCUAAAUCUCUCUUUUGUGGUAUUUCUGGAUCCUUACCAAGGCAGUGAUGGUAUAUGCCUUCUCUCAAGAUAUGUAGUAUUUGUGGUAUAAGGCAUAGUGACAUUGCCUUCUCUCUCACCCUACUCUAAUAAGGCUUUAAUAUCUAGAGCUUAUAGGUGGGAGAUAAAGUAUACAUACUUACAAGACAUUUAUUGUGUAGUCAAACCAUGGAUCCAAAGAAACAAAUCAAUAAGCCAAAUCAAGAUGUGCAUGUGUGGCGAAUGAAUGGUGUAUGGUGAUGAUGGUGAUAACAAUGGUGAAAGUCUAAUUCUACCUUUGCUCUUUUGAGGGGAUACAUACCUUCCUUGCUUUUUGAAACUUUAUGAGGAGAAUGAGAUGCUCUUCUUUUUCUUUCCUCUCAGGUGGGUAUCUUGUACCCCUAAUUCUACUGUCGGACACUUGUCCAUUUUUACCUCUCGUCUCACUUUUUCUUUCUUUCGAGGUUCCGGGCACUUGCCCCUUUUUAUUUCCUCAUUUAUUUUUUUUCUUUUCUCUCUUUUUUUUCUUCUUUUUUUUAGAGCACUCAUCUCUUAAGAUAAUAUAGCAAGUGGUAGUAGCAAGAUAACUUGAGCAAGAUAACUUGAGCAUUUAUUUCACAAGGGAAAAACACAGAUGUUUUUGGCUAUUCUCUCCCGAAUUAGGAGUAGAAUAUUUUUAGGUGAUUCUGGAGAUGGAAAUGGAUGGAUAUAUGUGGAUGGUACUUCCGGAGUAGAAGUAGCAUAUAUAUGAGUGAACGUGCAAGUGAAUCUUGAUUUAACCACAUGACAAGCUCCUAAGGGUCUACACAGCUUGACCACACUCAAUGCUCAUAAGCAGUAAAUAAUAAAUGUGUGGCUCAAAGUCUAGCAAGCAUGUAUAUAUGGCUGUGGUAGGAAUUUAAACUUUCAUCAUACAGGAACUCAUCAUGCAACAUUUUAAAGAUUUUUCAAAGAUAAAAUUCUCUAGAAUUCUAGCAUCUCUAGGAAUAGAUAAACAGCAGCUCAACCUUCCCAUAUCAUAUCCGUUAACAACUUAGAUUUCAAAUCAAGUUUUCAUCCCACAAGUUUAGAUCUAGAGCAAGCUUUAAAUUAUAACAGUUAUGUCUAAACUUGAGAGAGAACUUCAAAUUUGCAAAUUAGGCAGAGCAACUAUUCAUCAUAUCCAUGCUAGAGUUUUAUUAUUAAGAUUCAGAUUAGCAUAGCCACUUUAUUUAUUUAUUAAACACACUAAGCAAAAGAGAUAUAUAUAAGCACAAAAUCUUUAUUUGGUUUUUCAUAGUUUAUGUAUUUUAAUAUUCUAAUAUAAUAUAAGUAUAAAGAUAGGUAGAAAUACUUAGCGAGAUAAAUGGGGGUGCUCUCCCCCAAGCUGAAUUUUGACGUAAUUUCUCUUGAUGUAGCUAGCAGAUGGCAGAGGUGUAUUUGAAAGUCAGCAGCAUUCUGACAGCGAUUAGAAUGUCCUCCGUCUGCUAGUCUUCUUGAUUCUUAAAUUCUGUGGAGCUCAAAUAGACAACAAAGCUUGUGGAACUAAUUAAGUGUUAGCAUAAAUAUCUAGCCUUCAUCACGUUGAGCUUCCUCAAUAAAUAUUACUCCUUAUUUUUUAUAUUUUUAUUUUAUAAAGUAGAAAAGAAAUAUUUAUUUUAUUUUUAUGCCACCACAGUGAAGGUACUUAUGGGUUUUAUGCCACUCGUAUACUCACAUGGGGCUUAGUAUUUUUUAACAUUUUUAUUUUCUUUUCAAGAUAGCAUGAUUAACUAAUAAUUUAUUUAAGGAAAGUAAAUAAUUAAAUGGAAAAGGGAAUGCAGAAAGGAUAAAUAUGGAUAACUACCAAUCUUACCUUUCGGCGAGGGUUUAAUGUUUUAAGUCUUCUUGUCAAGACUUCUCAUCGUGUUCAUUCUCCAGGCGCGUCAUUUGAUUCAGGUGCGGACCUUGACGUCUGCACCUUUUAAUACGGUGUCACCCAUGUUCUUCGUUUGCCCAGCAGUUCGAAGUGCGGUGUUAGCAGUAUCUUGCUCAGUGUGUUUGUGCUCGUAGUGUACCUGCUCAUAGAGACAAGGCAGAGAUCAAGUGCAUGGGCCCUGUUGGUGGAAAACACCAACAGAACCAAAAGUGUAUUUGUUCUUCUCUAACCUUAAGCAUAGUGAGCAAGACAAGUUGAUGGAUGAUAAGUUCAUGAGUGUAGUACUUAUAACAUUUGUCAGAUCAGAUCGCUCAACCUUAUGGAAAGAUAAUCUAUCUAUGUAUAUGUCUUUUUCUUUAUAUCUCUCAAUGAUUGAAUGUGUAACAUUUUAGCUCAUAUGAUUAGGAGUGUGGGAUCAUGGAGGUAGUACUAAGAACAAGGAUUAAAGGACUAAACAUGUUGAAUCAGUUGGGUUGGUUAAUCUAGAGUUGUAAAUCAUACACGUUUGUCUCUUUUAUUUAUAUGGACGCCAGAACCAAGGAGAAGCUUAUAAAAGUGAUAGUCAAGUACCUUAAGAUGUUACCUUGCUCGAAGAGUGAUGGUACAGUAUCAUCUUGUGGAAGCUUUCCUUUCUUAGCGGUUGUGCGUCGUGUUUGUGGCACCCUCCAUGGAUCAUCUCUCUAUGAUGAAUGAGCUAUGUCCUUCUUGUGCAAAUUGUUAAACUUCAUGUGUCACUCUCUUCGUCUCUGAUGUGAGUUUAUCUCAGGACUUCCCAAAUCGAUAUUGAAAGUUUUUUCUGCAGGGGUUAGUCCGACAAAAUAUACCAAUAUCUACUCAAGCAGUUUUUUUAGUUCAAUAACCAAACUAGACUCCAUGUCUAAUUAGAUUAAGGAAGGCUAUUUAACCUAAGCACCAUGCUUAAUUUAAAUGCCAAUGGAAGUAUGGCGAGUACUUCCAAACCAACACUUGCUAGUAAAUAGACAAAGGUAGCAUUCCAGCGUUUAUAGAGAUCUACUCAAGUGGAGAUGAAGUAGUGUGAUUAGUAUUUAACAAAUUGAGCAUGUCUCAAAGGUAGGGACAACCAGCAUAGCAACAUGGCAAAGGAUGUUUUUAUGUAAAGUACUCCCCCAAGCUUGAAUUUUGCAAAAUUCAAGUUUGGAUGAAUUUAAUUCAAUGUUGUAUGAUGAUUGGUUGGACAUACCUUGUGCUUGUCAUUCAUCCGAUCUUCUUGCUCCAAUCUUAGAAAGGUUAGUGACAAGAAUACCCGAAGGAAUAUAUUUUUUUUACAAUUAUCCUUAUAUGCUCAAUACACAAGGUAAUGUUGCAAAUAAUUAAAGGCUCAUGUUACGAUCUGAUCAAUGCUUAUUUUAAGACACUAAGCUUGUCCUUGGGAAAGCAUCAGUUUAUGUUGGCGAAGUGGUUUCCCCUCCGACGCCAACCUAUAUCUAGAUCAACUCAACGAGAUCUGCAAUAUUUAUUAUAGACAUAUGCAUCGACAACCGCCCUUUUAAAGGUUUUAUAAAUAGAAAGGAAGAGGGGGUUGGAGAUCUCAAGUGUGGUGAUGUCGGAGAGACCAAUAGAUUGGGAAGAUGUUGCAUAUGAGCAUGGAGUAAACGAAGUGGCUAUGAAAUAAAUUCCAUGCUCAUUAAUGUUAUCUUCGUCUCUAAUCUGAAUGUUCGGAGUUUCUCCUGGAUUGGUCUCACCUAUGUCCUCUUCUGUAGUUGGAUGAAUCUCAUCUUCAAAGGGAGUCAAGAACUCACCAUUUGAAAUUGAGCCAAAGUUAGAACCUAUUAAGGCUUCUUCCUUAUCCAUCCAUUCUACACAUUCUAGCGAUUUAGAACUUGUGAUCAAAAUAGGGGAGGUGUUAGAAUUUUCUAUAUGGCUUAGCUCUCCUUCUAUGGCAUUACUUGACAUGCCAUCCUUAUGGUCUUCAUGACUCCUAUGGUUUGGUCGUCUUGGUGAAUUGCUAGGAUCAUCAUGAGACUGAAAAGAAGAGGGAUAAGAGGGAUCUCUAAGGUCAAGGAUGGAUUUAGAACUUGUGAACAUGGAAGGGGAGUAGAUAGAAUUGUCUAUAUGGCUUAGCUCUCCUUCACUUGAUAUGUCAUCCUCGACUUCUUCAUGAUAGGAACCAGGACAUUCUCUAAGAGAAAUAUUAUUGCAAUGAUUUGAAUUAUCCCUGCUUGAAGGUCUCUUAUAGAACCAGAAGUCUAAACCAUCAGCAUCUAAAAGAUUUAAGGUCGGAAUUCCUUCCUCCCUUGGAGAAUUUUGGGGUAUUGAUGGUUUAGGAUCGAUAGCUAAAGUUUGGGAUUGAAGUGGUUGUGAUCUGGCUAUCGAAACUUCUUCUUCUUGUCUAGGAACUGGUUCUUUCUCUUUCUCAGGGAUAUAAAAGCUAGGAGACUUUCCGCUCAUUAAAUCAAUCAAAUUCCAAGCUUCACUAGCGGAUAGGUGGUGGAAAGAUCCUCCAGAGGCCGCAUGAAGGGUUUGCUUAUUUUUCCUACUAAGGCCCUCAAAAAAGUGAAUAAGAAGAACUUCUUCUGGAAUAGAAAGUUUUGGGCCAGUGAGAGUAAGGAUAAUAAAGCGGUCCCAUGAUUUGCCAAGAGAUUCUUCUUCCAGUUGUCUAAAAGAAAGAAUCUCACACCGAAGUUCCACCACUUUGGAGAUUGGAAAAUAUUUAGAAAGAAAACUACUAUAUAACUCCUUCCAAUCUCCAUGAACACUCCCUACUUUGAGUUUAUACCAAUGUCUAGCUUUUCCCGUUAAAGAGAACGGAAAGAGCUUCCAUUUAAGGGUCUCAUCGGACAUGCCUUCUAUGCGAAGGAUGUCACAGACUCGAUAAAACUCUCUUAGGUGUGUGUAUGGGUUUUCCUCACCUUUUCCUGAGAAAGGUUGUUUUUGAAUAAAUUCUAUGUAUUCGGGGUCUAUCUCAAAACUAGAUGCUAUGAUAGGCUUUGAAGAUUUUGGUGGUUCGAGAUGUGUGCCCAUAGGUCUAUGAAAUUCAUAGAUAGACAUGUUUGAAUUCAUAAUAGACCAGAGAUCAAGGAUUAGAUAAGAAGAAAGAAUAGCAGAGAUGAGGCAAAGGAUAAAAGGAAAAUAUUUUAUUUAUUUAUUUAUUUAUUUAUAAAAUGAUUAAACUAGUUCGUAGUCAACUCAGCAACCGUUUCCCCGGCAACGGCGCCAAAAAUGCUUGUUGACACUUGCUAACACCACUUGAAUGCUAGGUUGUCAUCCCCAGCAUGGCACUAGAGUGUACUAUGGUAUUUAUACGCACACAGAUAAUCCGGAAGCGCACGGAUACCGUUGAAGCUUUUACCCGGUUAAAGGUUUUAUCGUAUCCACAGGGAAAUGGGAGAACUGAUCUACGCUCUAACUUAACCAAGAUAAGUAAAUAGGUGUGAAUAGGAAAGAUGGUAGAAUCAAAUAAGAACAAUAUUAAAGGUAAGAUAACAGUGAGUGAUAAUAUGGGAAUAGAGAGUAGAGCAAUUCUAGUAUAUGGGCGAUGGUAGCAGAAUAGAGAGAAUAACUAUGGUUUCUCUACUUCAAAGGGGUAUGUCUAUGUCUGGGACGAACCACGUGAUAAGAGUACACCACAAAGGAUGCUUAUCCAUAGGCCGAUAAACCCUACCCGUCCUGCUAACGAGAGGUGGACUACACGGGACCAACGUAACUGUCACCUACGCGGCCUACCACACGAUCCAGCUAGACAGGGGAUAUCCACAAGUAAUCUAGGUCUAAGCACCACGCUUACACCUAUACUACAACUCUGACCUAUAGGGUCCUAUAGAUUAGAAGUACUCAAAAGAGUUGUGAACCAGAACAUACAUGAUUAGUAAUUGCAUAAUGAAUUAGAAGUAGAUUACCAGAGUCAUCCCAUGAGCAAGCUUGAUUAGAGCUUGAUCAUGGCGAAGUACAACCGGAGGAAGAACCGACAGGCCGGCCUCUCCUCUAAUCCUCCUUCGCUCUCCAUCUCGCUACUAUCUAGAUCUACUCUAGUUUAGAGAAGAGAGGAGAGCUCUCAUCUCUAAACCCUAGCUUUUGCUCUGUCUAUGAAUAAUGAAUAAUGAUCAAGGGGUGCCUCCUCCAGGGGCCAGGGGGUCUAGUUUUAUAGUCCCCUCAAGUGAACCUGGGCCGUCGGAUCAAACUGACAUUGAUUGAAUGGUUAUUCUUGAUCCUUUAGGUCGGUGGAGCAUAAUCCGCGAGAUUGAGCGUGAUUGGCCGAAAAAGGUGGGCGGGCGCCCUAAGGACUUGGGCGGGCGCCCUGUCCCUGACUCCGUUCGGUCUCCGCUUCCUUCCCGUGGCUUCUGGAGUCUUCUGGAUGUAAGAUAAUUGUGCGGCACGUUGAUAUCUCUAUGUAAUCCCGACGUGUGGGCCUUUCUUCCUUAUUUCCUGAUAACCCCCUGCAGAAAUAGACAAACACCAAAACUCGUGGAAUUCUGUCAGAUAAAACCCUAAGUCUAGAUGUUGAUUUCAUUUGGAUCCUUUUCUUUGUUUAUUUGAUAAUUAAAUUUGAUACUUAAGGACCGUCAACAAACUCCCCCAAGCUUACCUCUUGCUCGUCCCUGAGCAAGGAUAGACUCCGCAAUGGAUCAGAAGUUGUUGCAAUAUCUUUAAAAAUUGACGGUACACAUGCUUUUAAAUGAGGUCCCAUCUCUGAGUUAGAGUAAACUGUCAAGACUUAAAACUUACUUACUUUACCUUUCACCAUGGGACUUGUAACCGUCACUUCUGUCUUGAGUGGUUAAAAGAUAGAACAGUCCAGUCAAGUGCCACGUCGCUUAUUCUUGAUCAGCUAUAGCUCUGGAGUUUUUGUAGAUUUUCAAAUAAAACUCAGAGAUUCCUUGUAUGACUCUCUAAAUCUCUCUUUUGUGGUAUUUCUGGAUCCUUACCAAGGCAGUGAUGGUAUAUGCCUUCUCUCAAGAUAUGUAGUAUUUGUGGUAUAAGGCAUAGUGACAUUGCCUUCUCUCUCACCCUACUCUAAUAAGGCUUUAAUAUCUGGAGCUUAUAGGUGGGAGAUAAAGUAUACAUACUUACAAGACAUUUAUUGUGUAGUCAAACUAUGGAUCCAAAGAAACAAAUCAAUAAGCCAAAUCAAGAUGUGCAUGUGUGGCGAAUGAAUGGUGUAUGGUGAUGAUGGUGAUAACAAUGGUGAAAGUCUAAUUCUACCUUUGCUCUUUUGAGGGGAUACAUACCUUCCUUGCUUUUUGAAACUUUAUGAGGAGAAUGAGAUGCUCUUCUUUUUCUUUCCUCUCAGGUGGGUAUCUUGUACCCCUAAUUCUACUGUCGGACACUUGUCCAUUUUUACCUCUCGUCUCACUUUUUCUUUCUUUCGAGGUUCCGGGCACUUGCCCCUUUUUAUUUCCUCAUUUAUUUUUUUUCUUUUCUCUCUUUUUUUUUCUACUUUUUUUUAGAGCACUCAUCUCUUAAGAUAAUAUAGCAAGUGGUAGUAGCAAGAUAACUUGAGCAUUUAUUUCACAAGGGAAAAACACAGAUGUUUUUGGCUAUUCUCUCCCGAAUCAGGAGUAGAAUAUUUUUAGGUGAUUCUGGAGAUGGAAAUGGAUGGAUAUAUGUGGAUGGUACUUCCGGAGUAGAAGUAGCAUAUAUAUGAGUGAACGUGCAAGUGAAUCUUGAUUUAACCACAUGACAAGCUCCUAAGGGUCUACACAGCUUGACCACACUCAAUGCUCAUAAGCAGUAAAUAAUAAAUGUGUGGCUCAAAGUCUAGCAAGCAUGUAUAUAUGGCUAUGGUAGGAAUUUAAACUUUCAUCAUACAGGAACUCAUCAUGCAACAUUUUAAAGAUUUUUCAAAGAUAAAAUUCUCCAGAAUUCUAGCAUCUCUAGGAAUAGAUAAACAGCAGCUCAACCUUCCCAUAUCAUAUCCGUUAACAACUUAGAUUUCAGAUCAAGUUUUCAUUCCACAAGUUUAGAUCUAGAGGAAGCUUUAAAUUAUAACAGUUAUGUCUAAACUUGAGAGAGAACUUCAAAUUUGCAAAUUAGGCAGAGCAACUAUUAAUCAUAUCCAUGCUAGAGUUUUAUUAUUAAGAUUCAGAUUAGCAUAGCCACUUUAUUUAUUUAUUAAACACACUAAGCAAAAGAUAUAUAUAUAUAAGCACAAAAUCUUUAUUUGGUUUUUCAUAGUUUAUGUAUUUUAAUAUUCUAAUAUAAUAUAAGUAUAAAGAUAGGUAGAAAUACUUAGCGAGAUAAAUGGGGUGCUCUCCCCCAAGCUGAAUUUUGACGUAAUUUCUCUUGAUGUAGCUAGCAGGUGGCAGAGGUGUAUUUGAAAGUCAGCAGCAUUCUGGCAGCGAUUAGAAUGUCCUCCGUCUGCUAGUCUUCUUGAUUCUUAAAUUCUGUGGAGCUCAAAUAGACAACAAAGCUUGUGGAACUAAUUAAGUAUUAGCAUAAAUAUCUAGCCUUCAUCACGUUGAGCUUCCUCAAUAAAUAUUACUCCUUAUUUUUAUAUUUUUAUUUUAUAAAGUAGAAAAGAAAUAUUUAUUUUAUUUUUAUGCCACCACAGUGAAGGUACUUAUGGGUUUUAUGCCACUCGUAUACUCACAUGGGGCUUAGUAUUUUUUAACAUUUUUAUUCUCUUUUCAAGAUAGCAUGAUUAACUAAUAAUCUAUUUAAGGAAAGUAAAUAAUUAAAUGGAAAAGGGAAUGCAGAAAGGAUAAAUAUGGAUAACUACCAAAUUUUAAGUCUUCUUGUCAAGACUUCUCAUCGUGUUCAUUCUCCAGGUGCGUCAUUUGAUUCAGGUGCGGACCUUGACGUCAGCACCUUUUAAUACGGUGUCACCCAUGUUCUUCGUUUUCCUAGCAGUUCGAAGUGCGGUGUUAGCAGUAUCUUGCUCAGUGUGUUUGUGCUCGUAGUGUACCUGCUCAUAGAGACAAGGCAGAGAUCAAGUGCAUGGGCCCUGUUGGUGGAAAACACCAACAGAACCAAAAGUGUAUUUGUUCUUCUCUAACCUUAAGCAUAGUGAGCAAGACAAGUUGAUGGAUGAUAAGUUCAUGAGUGUAGUACUUAUAACAUUUGUCAGAUUAGAUCGCUCAACCUUAUGGAAAGAUAAUCUAUCUAUGUAUAUGUCUUUUUCUUUAUAUCUCUCAAUGAUUGAAUGUGUAACAUUUUAGCUCAUAUGAUUAGGAGUGUGGGAUCAUGGAGGUAGUACUAAGAACAAGGAUUAAAGGACUAAAUAUGUUGAAUCAGUUGGGUUGGUUAAUCUAGAGUUGUAAAUCAUACACGUUUGUCUCUUUUAUUUAUAUGGACGCCAGAACCAAGGAGAAGCUUAUAAAAGUGAUAGUCAAGUACCUUAAGAUGUUACCUUGCUCGAAGAGUGAUGGUAGAGUAUCAUCUUGUGGAAGCUUUCCUUUCUUAGCGGUUGUGCGUCGUGUUUGUGGCACCCUCCAUGGAUCAUCUCUCUAUGAUGAAUGAGCUAUGUCCUUCUUGUGCAAAUUGUUAAACUUCAUGUGUCACUCUCUUCGUCUCUAAUGUGAGUUUAUCUCAGGACUUCCCAAAUCGAUAUUGAAAGUUUUUUCUGCAUGGGUUAGUCCGACAAAAUAUACCAAUAUCUACUCAAGCAGUUUUUUUAGUUCAAUAACAAACUAGACUCCAUGUCUAAUCAGAUUAAGGAAGGCUAUUUAACCUAAGCACCAUGCUUAAUUUAAAUGCCAAUGGAAGUAUGGCGAGUACUUCCAAACCAACACUUGCUAGUAAAUAGACAAAGGUAGCAUUACAGCGUUUAUAGUGAUCUACUCAAGUGG
This 9781-nucleotide long non-coding RNA is filed under the name Sorghum bicolor (sorghum). RNAcentral's name for it is "long non-coding RNA (SBIC_LNC016025)". The record is from RNAcentral. Lineage: Eukaryota; Viridiplantae; Streptophyta; Magnoliopsida; Poales; Poaceae.